AUGAACGCUGGCGGCGUGCCUAAUCCCUGCAAGUCGAGCGAACGGACGAGAAGCUUGCUUCUCUGAUGUUAGCGGCGGACGGGUGAGUAACACGUGGAUAACCUACCUAUAAGACUGGGAUAACUUCGGGAAACCGUAGCUAAUACCGGAUAAUAUUUUGAACCGCAUGGUUCAAAAGUGAAAGACGGUCUUGCUGUCACUUAUAGAUGGAUCCGCGCUGCAUUAGCUAGUUGGUAAGGUAACGGCUUACCAAGGCAACGAUGCAUAGCCGACCUGAGAGGGUGAUCGGCCACACUGGAACUGAGACACGGUCCAGACUCCUACGGGAGGCAGCAGUAGGGAAUCUUCCGCAAUGGGCGAAAGCCUGACGGAGCAACGCCGCGUGAGUGAUGAAGGUCUUCGGAUCGUAAAACUCUGUUAUGAGGGAAGAACAUAUGUGUAAGUAACUGUGCACAUCUUGACGGUACCUAAUCAGAAAGCCACGGCUAACUACGUG
Molecule: ribosomal RNA, 496 nt
Filed under: uncultured bacterium
Lineage: Bacteria
Description: partial 16S ribosomal RNA
Rfam family: Bacterial small subunit ribosomal RNA
Source: RNAcentral